RNAcentral lists this microRNA precursor (97 nucleotides) under Nomascus leucogenys (northern white-cheeked gibbon). RNAcentral's name for it is "miRNA (ENSNLEG00000033189.1)". Lineage: Eukaryota; Metazoa; Chordata; Mammalia; Primates; Hylobatidae. The record is from RNAcentral.
CUGUUUCAUGACAAGUAUCAGGUUGGUGCAAAAGUAAUCGCGGUUUUUGCCAUUUAAAAGUAAUGGCAAAAACCACAAUUACUUUUGGACCAACCUA